Molecule: ribosomal RNA, 502 nt
Filed under: Sporobolomyces blumeae
Lineage: Eukaryota; Fungi; Basidiomycota; Microbotryomycetes; Sporidiobolales; Sporidiobolaceae
Description: LSU rRNA
Rfam family: Eukaryotic large subunit ribosomal RNA
Source: RNAcentral
CCGAGUUGUAAUCUCGAGAAAUGUUUUCCGUGUUAGACCGCAUACAAGUCUCUUGGAACAGAGCGUCAUAGUGGUGAGAACCCAGUACACGAUGCGGAUGCCUAAUACUUUGUGAUACAUUUUCGAAGAGUCGAGUUGUUUGGGAAUGCAGCUCAAAUUGGGUGGUAAAUUCCAUCUAAAGCUAAAUAUUGGCGAGAGACCGAUAGCGAACAAGUACCGUGAGGGAAAGAUGAAAAGCACUUUGGAAAGAGAGUUAACAGUACGUGAAAUUGUUGGAAGGGAAACACAUGCAGUCAGACUUGCUAUUCGGGGCAACUCGAUUGGCAGGCCCGCAUCAGUUUUUCGGGGCGGAAAAGCAUAGAGAGAAGGUAGCAGUUUCGGCUGUGUUAUAGCUCUUUAUUGGAUUCGCCCUGGGGGACUGAGGAACGCAGCGUGCUUUUAGCAUGAGCUUCGGCUUAUCCACGCUUAGGAUGCGGGUGUAAUGGCUGUAUAUGACCCGUCU